Molecule: non-coding RNA, 48 nt
Organism: Schistosoma mansoni
Lineage: Eukaryota; Metazoa; Platyhelminthes; Trematoda; Strigeidida; Schistosomatidae
Source: Rfam
AUUCAGCUGACGAGUCCUAAAUAGGACGGAACCCGCGCCAAACUGGAU